Molecule: ribosomal RNA, 465 nt
Filed under: uncultured Streptococcus sp.
Lineage: Bacteria; Bacillati; Bacillota; Bacilli; Lactobacillales; Streptococcaceae
Description: bacterial SSU rRNA
Rfam family: Bacterial small subunit ribosomal RNA
Source: RNAcentral
CCUACGGGGGGCUGCAGUAGGGAAUCUUCGGCAAUGGGGGCAACCCUGACCGAGCAACGCCGCGUGAGUGAAGAAGGUUUUCGGAUCGUAAAGCUCUGUUGUAAGUCAAGAACGAGUGUGAGAGUGGAAAGUUCACACUGUGACGGUAGCUUAUUAGAAAGGGACGGCUAACUACGUGCCAGCAGCCGCGGUAAUACGUAGGUCCCGAGCGUUGUCCGGAUUUAUUGGGCGUAAAGCGAGCGCAGGCGGUUUGAUAAGUCUGAAGUUAAAGGCUGUGGCUCAACCAUAGUUCGCUUUGGAAACUGUCAAACUUGAGUGCAGAAGGGGAGAGUAGAAUUCCAUGUGUAACGGUGAAAUGCGUAGAUAUAUGGAGGAACACCGGUGGCGAAAGCGGCUCUCUGGUCUGUAACUGACGCUGAGGCUCGAAAGCGUGGGGAGCGAACAGGAUUAGAUACCCUUGUAGUC